This 374-nucleotide ribosomal RNA is filed under the name uncultured eukaryote. RNAcentral's name for it is "partial 18S ribosomal RNA". It matches the Rfam family "Eukaryotic small subunit ribosomal RNA", at positions 592 to 976 of the family's 1831-position model. The record is from RNAcentral.
UAAUAGUGUAUAUUAAAGUUGUUGCAGUUAAAAAGCUCGUAGUUGAAUGUUGGUGUCGAACGAGCGGUCAGCUUCGGCUGUACUGCUCUCUCGACUCCUUCCUUCUGUGGACUACGUCGCGCUUUACUGUGUGGCGCUAGGACGCAGAUCGUUUACUGUGAAAAAAUUAGAGUGUUCAAAGCAGGCCGUACGCUUGAAUACAUUAGCAUGGAAUAAUGGAAUAGGACGUCGGGCCUAUUUUGUUGGUUCUAGGACCGUCGUAAUGAUUAAUAGGGACAGUUGGGGCCGUUUAUAUUCCGUAGUCAGAGGUGAAAUUCUUGGAUUUACGGAAGAUAAACUACUGCGAAAGCAUUCGGCAAGGAUGUUUUCGUUAA